RNAcentral lists this ribosomal RNA (53 nucleotides) under Alternaria arborescens. RNAcentral's name for it is "partial 28S ribosomal RNA". Lineage: Eukaryota; Fungi; Ascomycota; Dothideomycetes; Pleosporales; Pleosporaceae. The record is from RNAcentral.
GGAUCAGGUAGGGAUACCCGCUGAACUUAAGCAUAUCAAUAAGGCCGGAGGAA